This 459-nucleotide ribosomal RNA is filed under the name uncultured bacterium. Its description in RNAcentral is "partial 16S ribosomal RNA". It matches the Rfam family "Bacterial small subunit ribosomal RNA", at positions 338 to 795 of the family's 1533-position model. The record is from RNAcentral.
CCUACGGGAGGUAGCAGUGAGGAAUAUUGGUCAAUGGGCGAGAGCCUGAACCAGCCAAGUCGCGUGAAGGAUGAAGGUUCUAUGGGUCGUAAACCGCUUUUGCACGGGGAUAACACCCUCCACUUGUGGAGGUCUGCAGGUUCCGUGCGGAUUAGGGCCGGCUAAAUCCGUUCCAGCAGCCGCGGUAAUACGGAAGGCGCGAGCGUUAGCCGGAUUCAUUGGGCUUAAAGGGAGCGUAGGCGGGCGUUCAAGUCAGCUGUAAAAUCGCGCGGCUCAACCGCGCCCCGCAGUUGAAACUGGACGCCUUGAGUUCACAACAGGCAGGCGGAAUUCGUGGUGUAGCGGUGAAAUGCAUAGAUAUCACGAGGAACCCCGAUUGCGAAGGCAGCCUGCCGGGGUGCGACUGACGCUGAGGCUCGAAGGUGCGGGUAUCAAACAGGAUUAGAUACCCUAGUAGUC